ACGUUAGCGGCGGACGGGUGAGUAACACGUGGGUAACCUACCUAUAAGACUGGGAUAACUUCGGGAAACCGGAGCUAAUACCGGAUAAUAUUUCUAACCGCAUGGUUCGAUAGUGAAAGAUGGUUUUGCUAUCACUUAUAGAUUGACCCGCGCCGUAUUAGCUAGUUGGUAAGGUAACGGCUUACCAAGGCGACGAUACGUAGCCGACCUGAGAGGGUGAUCGGCCACACUGGAACUGAGACACGGUCCAGACUCCUACGGGAGGCAGCAGCC
RNAcentral lists this ribosomal RNA (273 nucleotides) under uncultured Staphylococcus sp. RNAcentral's name for it is "partial 16S ribosomal RNA". It matches the Rfam family "Bacterial small subunit ribosomal RNA", at positions 89 to 355 of the family's 1533-position model. The record is from RNAcentral. Lineage: Bacteria; Bacillati; Bacillota; Bacilli; Caryophanales; Staphylococcaceae.